UACGUAGGGUGCAAGCGUUGUCCGGAAUUAUUGGGCGUAAAGAGCUUGUAGGCGGUUUGUCGCGUCUGCUGUGAAAUUUCGGGGCUCAACCCCGAACUUGCAGUGGGUACGGGCAGGCUAGAGUGUGGUAGGGGAGACUGGAAUUCCUGGUGUAGCGGUGAAAUGCGCAGAUAUCAGGAGGAACACCAAUGGCGAAGGCAGCUCGCUGGGACGUGACUGACGCUGAGACGCGAAAGCGUGGGGAGCAAAACAGG
RNAcentral lists this ribosomal RNA (254 nucleotides) under uncultured bacterium. RNAcentral's name for it is "partial 16S ribosomal RNA". It matches the Rfam family "Bacterial small subunit ribosomal RNA", at positions 524 to 776 of the family's 1533-position model. The record is from RNAcentral.